This 492-nucleotide ribosomal RNA is filed under the name uncultured bacterium. RNAcentral describes it as "partial 16S ribosomal RNA". It matches the Rfam family "Bacterial small subunit ribosomal RNA", at positions 29 to 507 of the family's 1533-position model. The record is from RNAcentral.
AGUGAACGCUGGCGGUAGGCCUAACACAUGCAAGUCGAACGGCAGCACAGUAAGAGCUCGCUCUUACGGGUGGCGAGUGGCGGACGGGUGAGGAAUACAUCGGAAUCUACUUUUUCGUGGGGGAUAACGUAGGGAAACUUACGCUAAUACCGCAUACGACCUACGGGUGAAAGCAGGGGAUCUUCGGACCUUGCGCGAUUGUAUGAGCCGAUGUCGGAUUAGCUAGUUGGCGGGGUAAAGGCCCACCAAGGCGACGAUCCGUAGCUGGUCUGAGAGGAUGAUCAGCCACACUGGAACUGAGACACGGUCCAGACUCCUACGGGAGGCAGCAGUGGGGAAUAUUGGACAAUGGGCGCAAGCCUGAUCCAGCCAUACCGCGUGGGUGAAGAAGGCCUUCGGGUUGUAAAGCCCUUUUGUUGGGAAAGAAAAGCAGCAAGUUAAUACCCCGCUGUUCUGACGGUACCAAAAGAAUAAGCACCGGCUAACUUCGUG